UGGUUUAAUUCGAAGCAACGCGCAGAACCUUACCAUCCCUUGACAUGGCAUGUUACCUCGAGAGAUCGGGGAUCCUCUUCGGAGGCGUGCACACAGGUGCUGCAUGGCUGUCGUCAGCUCGUGUCGUGAGAUGUUGGGUUAAGUCCCGCAACGAGCGCAACCCACGUCCUUAGUUGCCAUCAUUCAGUUGGGCACUCUAGGGAGACUGCCGGUGAUAAGCCGCGAGGAAGGUGUGGAUGACGUCAAGUCCUCAUGGCCCUUACGGGAUGGGCUACACACGUGCUACAAUGGCGGUGACAGUGGGACGCGAAGCCGCGAGGUGGAGCAAAUCCCCAAAAACCGUCUCAGUUCGGAUUGCACUCUGCAACUCGGGUGCAUGAAGGCGGAAUCGCUAGUAAUCGUGGAUCAGCACGCCACGGUGAAUACGUUCCCGGGCCUUGUACACACCGCCCGUCACACCAUGGGAGUUGGUCUU
This 475-nucleotide ribosomal RNA is filed under the name uncultured Methylobacterium sp. RNAcentral's name for it is "bacterial SSU rRNA". It matches the Rfam family "Bacterial small subunit ribosomal RNA", at positions 942 to 1418 of the family's 1533-position model. Lineage: Bacteria; Pseudomonadati; Pseudomonadota; Alphaproteobacteria; Hyphomicrobiales; Methylobacteriaceae. The record is from RNAcentral.